UCGAACGAGAAAGCCCGCAAGGGUGAGUAAAGUGGCGUACGGGUGAGUAACACGUGGGUAAUCUACCUUUUGGUGGGGAAUAACCCUGGGAAACCGGGGCUAAUACCGCAUAAGCUCGAAAGAGGAAAGGUGCAAAUCGCCGAAAGAGGAGCCCGCGGCUGAUUAGCUAAUUGGUGAGGUAAAGGCUCACCAAGGCGAAGAUCGGUAGCCGGCCUGAGAGGGCACACGGCCACACUGGCACUGAAACACGGGCCAGACUCCUACGGGAGGCAGCAGUGGGGAAUCUUGCACAAUGGGGGAAACCCUGAUGCAGCGACGCCGCGUGAGCGAUGAAGCCCUUCGGGGUGUAAAGCUCUUUCGGCAGGAACGAUAAUGACGGUACCUGAAGAAGAAGCUGCGGCUAACUACGUGCCAGCAGCCGCGGUAAUACGUAGGCAGCGAGCGUUG
RNAcentral lists this ribosomal RNA (447 nucleotides) under uncultured bacterium. RNAcentral's name for it is "bacterial SSU rRNA". It matches the Rfam family "Bacterial small subunit ribosomal RNA", at positions 62 to 543 of the family's 1533-position model. The record is from RNAcentral.